RNAcentral lists this long non-coding RNA (2648 nucleotides) under Zea mays. RNAcentral describes it as "long non-coding RNA (ZMAY_LNC005827)". The record is from RNAcentral. Lineage: Eukaryota; Viridiplantae; Streptophyta; Magnoliopsida; Poales; Poaceae.
UUUUCACUAAGAUUUUUAAAGGACUUUCACUCUUUUCAACCAUACCACUCAAUCCAAGUAUAUCACAAGUUAGAUCUUACAAAAUGACACUAGAUGGCAACAAACACAUGAUAAGAGCUAUAUCACUAAGAUGAUACAUGUCAAGAGCUCAAGGAAGAAAAUAAGAGGCUAAGAACGAGCUUGACACAACUAAAAGGGAAAUGCGCUGCUCAACCUUCUCAAGAUAACCGUGAUUACAUGGUGAAGAAGCUUAAGACGGGAACAACCGUGGCAUGCACAAAAUCCCUUGAAGAAAAUGUCAAGGACUUGAGGAAUGUCAAGAGGAAGGAACAAAAGAAGAAAAUCAAUACCUCUGCAAAAAGCCUCAACCAUGCCUCCAUGCAAGGUAACAUCCAAGGUAAUGAUCAAGCCACACUUCACACUAAGAAAAGUAAGAAGUGUAGUGAAUGCUUUGAAAAAGGGCACUUGAUUAGGUCAUGUCCCUAUAUUAAAGAAAAUGGCUUGAUUAUUAACAAGGAUGAUAAACAUUGUUUUAGAUGCUUUGAGAAGGGACAUUCAGUUAAGUCAUGUCCCUAUGUAAAACAAAAGACAUAGUCUUAGAAAAGAAAAUAUUUACUAACCAUGUAGCAAGCAAGAAACAAGGAAAGAAGAAAUCUUCAAAACAUGAAGAUCGCCUCUUCUACAUAUGCCGAAAGAAGGGACAUUUAUGCGAGGAUUGUCCCAUUGGUAACUAUCCCGCUCCUAGCUUGUCAAUUGAUUCAUAUGUAACUAGGCAACCCAAAAUUACAACUUGUGCUAGAAAGGUAAUGAGUUUACCAAGCGUUAGCACAAAGGACAUUUGGGUUCCUAGAUCUUUAUUGACUAACCUUGAUGGACCCAUCAAGAGAUGAGGACCAAAAUAUGCAUGACAAGCUUUGCAGGGGAAAGGAGAUUAUAUGAAGCUUUAGAAGUGCUUGAGUAGGUUAAUUCAAUUCUUAUUAACUCAAGCUAUCAAUCUUACAAUGUUCUAUAUCUCUAAGAUUGACCCAAAGUUAUUUUGGAUUAUUAUAUCUAAAACUCAUAUCAUCUCGAACAAGAUAUUGAUGUUGUAGGGAAUAAAGGAUUAUCUUGUGUGGAAAAUCAAAUCCUACAACAUAAAGGAAAGCCAAAGGAUGGUAACACUUAUGUCUUUAAGUGCAAGUAUCUUCAAUUAUCAUUUCUCUUGUGUCUUGUGUAGUCACACAGAAAAAGGAAGCACUUAAAAAUGUUGUUAAAUGGUGUCACCAUUCUUUGAAGAAAGUUCCUCUCAAAUGGUAGAUUGCAUUUUCAUCAUUUCUAUAUUAUGGCAAUAUACAUGCUUUAAAUUGUUGUAAGUACCUCAUGGUAUCUUUUACAUUAAACAUCCUUUAUUGCCAUGUUCUAGACAUAGAGAAAUAUUCCAAGUUCUUAAAAGAAUAAGGUGUCAUAUAAAGAAUUCAAAUCCUUAGAACUCUUAUAAAGGGAAUCUCUCUUUAUGACUAGAACCGUGAGAUUAAUGCUUUUGACUAAGUGACUUAAGUAGUCUCACAUUUAGAGAAUGAGUUUCUCUAUGGAAAUGUGUAAUUUAACAUAAAAAAGAAAAAUCAAUCCAUUGAUUUAUGAUGUAUUUCUUCUUGCUUAAAUUGGACAUAAUUCUUCUUUAUUAAUCGCUCUCCAUGUUAUGAAUUAGAUUUGUUCCCAUGAUCUUGAGAGAUUAACUAUGCUUGUCUUAUAAGUUAAAACUAAGCAUAACAUCAUCUAUGGGAUAAUCUAGUUCAUGUUAUGAAGUUUUCAUGUUUUAGUAAUCUACCUAUCAUUCCUUCUCUAAAAUGUUUACUAAAAAGGAAACUAGUGCUUGUGUUACUAAUGACAUCUCUCUUGAGCAUAUUUAUGAAAAUCUACAAGAGAGUGAGUGCAUGAUCAAUUUAUUAAAAGACACAAGCCUGAAGGUUGCUCUUCACCUAAAGGAAGAAAGAUAAAAACAAAGGUAUGAGAACUCAUCUCCUUAAUCAAUAAUAGCUCUCAUCAAUUGGUAUUCCUUCUAAACUAUCAUAUUCUGCCUAUGUGAAGAUUAGAUUCCUUAUUGGACAUUAAAUCAGCUAAAAGCGCUCACAAUCUUGCUUUCAUAUGUGUAUCAGUCCACUAGAAUCUAAUUUAUGCCUUUGCUAUAUCUAUGCUAAUAUUGAUAUGCUUCUAAAUUUAAUCAAUUAUGUGUGAACAAACAUCAAUAUGAAGAAGUAAACACCUUCUGAUCCAAGGCUAUUUGGUCCAAAGGUGUUGGACCAAUCACACUACGGUUAGCCAUCAAACUCAGCUUCUACUAGUCCUGCUCGGUUUAAGGGCCCCUCAAAGGCCAUCUUUCCUACAAUUCUUCCACCUACAAAUAUGCUAACUCAAAAGUGUUCUAUCAACUUUGUGUAAGUUUGUAUUUUCACUAACAUUUUUAAUGGACUUUCACACUCUUUUCAACCAUACCACUCAAUCCAAGUAUAUCACAAGUUAGAUCUUACAAAAAUGACACUAGUUGGCAACAAACACAUGAUACAUAGGUGGUGUCUAAGAAACUGAUGCUCUCGACAAAAUAUACAGAUGUGCAGUCUAAAACAUCGAUGAAAACUUUGCACAGGGAAUCGAGGUACGGAAACCUCAAU